AACGCACAUUGCGCCCCUGGUAUUCCGAGGGGCAUGCCUGUUCGAGCGUCAUUACACCACUCAAGCCUCUGCUUGGUAUUGGGCGUCGUCCUAGUUGGCGCGCGCCUCAAAGUCUCCGGCUGUUUGACCCGUCUCCCAGCGUUGUGGCAACUAUUUCGCAGUGGAGUUCGAGUUGGAUCGGCCGUUAAAUCUUUCAAAGGUUGACCUCGGAUCAGGUAGGGAUACCCGCUGAACUUAA
RNAcentral lists this unclassified non-coding RNA (238 nucleotides) under uncultured fungus. RNAcentral's name for it is "partial contains 5.8S ribosomal RNA, internal transcribed spacer 2, and large subunit ribosomal RNA". Lineage: Eukaryota; Fungi. The record is from RNAcentral.